CGAACGGGUGAGUAACACGUGAGUAACCUGCCCUUCACUCUGGGAUAACUCCGGGAAACCGGGGCUAAUACUGGAUAUGACUCGAACAGGCAUCUGUAUCGGGUGGAAAGAUUUAUUGGUGGGGGAUGGACUCGCGGCCUAUCAGCUUGUUGGUGAGGUAAUGGCUCACCAAGGCGACGACGGGUAGCCGGCCUGAGAGGGCGACCGGCCACACUGGGACUGAGACACGGCCCAG
RNAcentral lists this ribosomal RNA (235 nucleotides) under uncultured bacterium. RNAcentral describes it as "partial 16S ribosomal RNA". It matches the Rfam family "Bacterial small subunit ribosomal RNA", at positions 99 to 334 of the family's 1533-position model. The record is from RNAcentral.